GAUGAACGCUGGCGGCGUGCCUAAUACAUGCAAGUCGAGCGAACGGACGAGAAGCUUGCUUCUCUGAUGUUAGCGGCGGACGGGUGAGUAACACGUGGAUAACCUACCUAUAAGACUGGGAUAACUUCGGGAAACCGGAGCUAAUACCGGAUAAUAUUUUGAACCGCAUGGUUCAAAAGUAAAAGACGGUCUUGCUGUCACUUAUAGAUGGAUCCGCGCUGCAUUAGCUAGUUGGUAAGGUAACGGCUUACCAAGGCAACGAUGCAUAGCCGACCUGAGAGGGUGAUCGGCCACACUGGAACUGAGACACGGUCAAGACUCCUACGGGAGGCAGCAGUAGGGAAUCUUCCGCAAUGGGCGCAAGCCUGACGGAGCAACGCCGCGUGAGUGAUGAAGGUCUUCGGAUCGUAAAACUCUGUUAUUAGGGAAGAACAUAUGUGUAAGUAACUGUGCACAUCUUGACGGUACCUAAUCAGAAAGCCACGGCUAACUACGUG
This 497-nucleotide ribosomal RNA is filed under the name uncultured bacterium. RNAcentral's name for it is "partial 16S ribosomal RNA". It matches the Rfam family "Bacterial small subunit ribosomal RNA", at positions 28 to 507 of the family's 1533-position model. The record is from RNAcentral.